RNAcentral lists this ribosomal RNA (497 nucleotides) under uncultured bacterium. Its description in RNAcentral is "partial 16S ribosomal RNA". It matches the Rfam family "Bacterial small subunit ribosomal RNA", at positions 28 to 507 of the family's 1533-position model. The record is from RNAcentral.
GAUGAACGCUGGCGGCGUGCCUAAUACAUGCAAGUCGAGCGAACAGACGAGGAGCUUGCUCCUCUGACGUUAGCGGCGGACGGGUGAGUAACACGUGGAUAACCUACCUAUAAGACUGGGAUAACUUCGGGAAACCGGAGCUAAUACCGGAUAAUAUAUUGAACCGCAUGGUUCAAUGGUGAAAGACGGUUUUGCUGUCACUUAUAGCUGGAUCCGCGCUGCAUUAGCUAGUUGGUAAGGUAAAGGCUUACCAAGGCAACGAUGCGUGGCCGAACUGAGAGGGGGAUCGGCCACAUUGGAACUUAGACACGGUCCAGACUACUACGGGAGGCAGCAGUAGGGAAUCUUCCGCAAUGGGCGAAAGCUUGACGGAGCAACGCCGCGUGAGUGAUGAAGGUCUUCGGAUCGUAAAACUCGGUUAUUAGGGAAGAACAAAUGUGUAAGUAACUAUGCACUGCUUGACGGUACCUAAUCAGAAAGCCCCGGCUAACUACGUG